UACGGGGGGAGCAAGCGUUGUUCGGAAUCACUGGGCUUAAAGGGCGCGUAGGCGGGUGCUCAAGUCCGGGGUGAAAUCCUCCAGCUCAACUGGAGAACUGCCUCGGAUACUGGGUGUCUCGAGGGUGGUAGGGGUAUGCGGAACUAUCGGUGGAGCGGUGAAAUGCGUUGAUAUCGAUAGGAACUCCGGUGGCGAAGGCGGCAUACUGGACCACAUCUGACGCUGAGGCGCGAAAGCCAGGGGAGCAAACGGG
Molecule: ribosomal RNA, 253 nt
Filed under: uncultured bacterium
Lineage: Bacteria
Description: partial 16S ribosomal RNA
Rfam family: Bacterial small subunit ribosomal RNA
Source: RNAcentral